RNAcentral lists this ribosomal RNA (420 nucleotides) under Muntiacus muntjak (muntjak). Its description in RNAcentral is "partial 12S ribosomal RNA". It matches the Rfam family "Bacterial small subunit ribosomal RNA", at positions 792 to 1408 of the family's 1533-position model. Lineage: Eukaryota; Metazoa; Chordata; Mammalia; Artiodactyla; Cervidae. The record is from RNAcentral.
AUGCCUAGCCCUAACACAAAUAGUUUUAUAAACAAAACUAUUCGCCAGAGUACUACCGGCAAUAGCUUAAAACUCAAAGGACUUGGCGGUGCUUUAUACCCUUCUAGAGGAGCCUGUUCUAUAAUCGAUAAACCCCGAUAGACCUCACCAUUCCUCGCUAAUACAGUCUAUAUACCGCCAUCUUCAGCAAACCCUAAAAAGGAGCAAAAGUAAGCGCAAUCAUAGUACAUAAAAACGUUAGGUCAAGGUGUAACCUAUGGAAUGGAAAGAAAUGGGCUACAUUUUCUAAUCCAAGAACAACUCAAUACGAAAAUUAUUAUGAAAUUAAUAAUUAAAGGAGGAUUUAGCAGUAAACUAAGAAUAGAGUGCUUAGUUGAAUUAGGCCAUGAAGCACGCACACACCGCCCGUCACCCUCAUGG